This is a transfer RNA of Felis catus (domestic cat), 85 nucleotides long. It matches the Rfam family "tRNA". From Rfam's summary of the family: Transfer RNA (tRNA) molecules are approximately 80 nucleotides in length. Their secondary structure includes four short double-helical elements and three loops (D, anti-codon, and T loops). Lineage: Eukaryota; Metazoa; Chordata; Mammalia; Carnivora; Felidae. The record is from Rfam.
GCCUGGGUGGCUCAGUUGGUUGAGCGUCUGACUUCAGCUCAGGUCAUGAUCUCACGGUUUGUGGCUUCGAGCCCCACAUUGGGCU